RNAcentral lists this ribosomal RNA (201 nucleotides) under uncultured Bacillus sp. Its description in RNAcentral is "partial 16S ribosomal RNA". It matches the Rfam family "Bacterial small subunit ribosomal RNA", at positions 335 to 527 of the family's 1533-position model. Lineage: Bacteria; Bacillati; Bacillota; Bacilli; Caryophanales; Bacillaceae. The record is from RNAcentral.
ACUCCUACGGGAGGCAGCAGUAGGGAAUCUUCCGCAAUGGACGAAAGUCUGACGGAGCAACGCCGUGUGAGUGAUGAAGGUUCUCGGAUCGUAAAGCUCUGUUGUUAGGGAAGAACAAGUACCGUUCGAAUAGGGCGGUACCUUGACGGUACCUAACCAGAAAGCCACGGCUAACUACGUGCCAGCAGCCGCGGUAAUACA